Molecule: ribosomal RNA, 1435 nt
Filed under: uncultured organism
Description: SSU rRNA
Rfam family: Bacterial small subunit ribosomal RNA
Source: RNAcentral
UGCUACAGGCUUAACACAUGCAAGUCGAGGGGCAGCAUGGUCUUAGCUUGCUAAGGCCGAUGGCGACCGGCGCACGGGUGAGUAACACGUAUCCAACCUGCCGUCUACUCUUGGACAGCCUUCUGAAAGGAAGAUUAAUACAAGAUGGCAUCAUGAGUCCGCAUGUUCACAUGAUUAAAGGUAUUCCGGUAGACGAUGGGGAUGCGUUCCAUUAGAUAGUAGGCGGGGUAACGGCCCACCUAGUCUUCGAUGGAUAGGGGUUCUGAGAGGAAGGUCCCCCACAUUGGAACUGAGACACGGUCCAAACUCCUACGGGAGGCAGCAGUGAGGAAUAUUGGUCAAUGGGCGAGAGCCUGAACCAGCCAAGUAGCGUGAAGGAUGACUGCCCUAUGGGUUGUAAACUUCUUUUAUAAAGGAAUAAAGUCGGGUAUGGAUACCCGUUUGCAUGUACUUUAUGAAUAAGGAUCGGCUAACUCCGUGCCAGCAGCCGCGGUAAUACGGAGGAUCCGAGCGUUAUCCGGAUUUAUUGGGUUUAAAGGGAGCGUAGAUGGAUGUUUAAGUCAGUUGUGAAAGUUUGCGGCUCAACCGUAAAAUUGCAGUUGAUACUGGAUAUCUUGAGUGCAGUUGAGGCAGGCGGAAUUCGUGGUGUAGCGGUGAAAUGCUUAGAUAUCACGAAGAACUCCGAUUGCGAAGGCAGCCUGCUAAGCUGCAACUGACAUUGAGGCUCGAAAGUGUGGGUAUCAAACAGGAUUAGAUACCCUGGUAGUCCACACGGUAAACGAUGAAUACUCGCUGUUUGCGAUAUACAGCAAGCGGCCAAGCGAAAGCGUUAAGUAUUCCACCUGGGGAGUACGCCGGCAACGGUGAAACUCAAAGGAAUUGACGGGGGCCCGCACAAGCGGAGGAACAUGUGGUUUAAUUCGAUGAUACGCGAGGAACCUUACCCGGGCUUAAAUUGCAGAUGAAUUACGGUGAAAGCCGUAAGCCGCAAGGCAUCUGUGAAGGUGCUGCAUGGUUGUCGUCAGCUCGUGCCGUGAGGUGUCGGCUUAAGUGCCAUAACGAGCGCAACCCUUGUUGUCAGUUACUAACAGGUUCCGCUGAGGACUCUGACAAGACUGCCAUCGUAAGAUGUGAGGAAGGUGGGGAUGACGUCAAAUCAGCACGGCCCUUACGUCCGGGGCUACACACGUGUUACAAUGGGGGGUACAGAGGGCCGCUACCACGCGAGUGGAUGCCAAUCCCCAAAACCUCUCUCAGUUCGGACUGGAGUCUGCAACCCGACUCCACGAAGCUGGAUUCGCUAGUAAUCGCGCAUCAGCCACGGCGCGGUGAAUACGUUCCCGGGCCUUGUACACACCGCCCGUCAAGCCAUGGGAGCCGGGGGUACCUGAAGUGCGUAACCGCGAGGAGCGCCCUAGGGUAAAACUGGUGACUG